AAGCCUGACGCAGCGACGCCGCGUGGGGGAUGACGGCCUUCGGGUUGUAAACCUCUUUCAGCAGGGACGAAGCGAAAGUGACGGUACCUGCAGAAGAAGCACCGGCCAACUACGUGCCAGCAGCCGCGGUAAUACGUAGGGUGCAAGCGUUGUCCGGAAUUAUUGGGCGUAAAGAGCUCGUAGGCGGUUCGUCGCGUCGGCUGUGAAAUCCCGGAGCUCAACUCCGGGCCUGCAGUCGAUACGGGCGGACUUGAGUUCGGCAGGGGAGACUGGAAUUCCUGGUGUAGCGGUGAAAUGCGCAGAUAUCAGGAGGAACACCGGUGGCGAAGGCGGGUCUCUGGGCCGAAACUGACGCUGAGGAGCGAAAGCGUGGGGAGCGAACAGGAUUAGAUACCCUGGUAGUCCACGCCGUAAACGUUGGGCGCUAGGUGUGGGGGCCAUUCCACGGUCUCCGUGCCGCAGCUAACGCAUUAAGCGCCCCGCCUGGGGAGUACGGCCGCAAGGCUAAAACUC
Molecule: ribosomal RNA, 513 nt
Filed under: Geodermatophilaceae AT04-02
Lineage: Bacteria; Bacillati; Actinomycetota; Actinomycetes; Geodermatophilales; Geodermatophilaceae
Description: bacterial SSU rRNA
Rfam family: Bacterial small subunit ribosomal RNA
Source: RNAcentral